RNAcentral lists this unclassified non-coding RNA (258 nucleotides) under Hevea brasiliensis (rubber tree). Lineage: Eukaryota; Viridiplantae; Streptophyta; Magnoliopsida; Malpighiales; Euphorbiaceae. The record is from RNAcentral.
GUGGAUUAGCUAUAAAAUUUGAAGCAAUUAUGCUUGAUGCUGCUCCAGACAACAAGGUAGGAAGGAGAGACUGCUCCAAUUCAUGAUUAGGACACAAAAUCAUAAAAUGAUAUUCACCUUUUAACAGUUGAUUUAAUGUAAUUGGAUUGAUUUUACUGACAUAGAUAGUCCAGCCAACGGUUAAGACCUACUGAAGAAGGCAGAAAGUAAAUGAAAAAGUAAAAAAUAAAUGAGUGAUCAGGCCCCCAAGGUGCAUAA